UUCCAACCUGUCCCUGUGUGGAGACAUUGUACAGGUUGAUAAACGGGACUUGGCCAUAUUGAAUGGGUAGAAGAAAUUCAGCUAAAAACCGAACUUUGGAAAGCACGUGGUUGGAACAAGAUGGCGAUGGCGAGCUGCCCACGGACCUUCUGAAAGAUACGCAGGAGAAAUACUUCUCUUGCUGAACGCUGCAUGGUUUGCAUCUGAACUGGUAGGAUUUACCCAACUUUCUGCAAAGCUACUGCAACGGACUCAGGAACAUUGAACUGCUAAUUAAAAGAGCAACGAGUAGAAAAAAAAAAGGACUUUUAUUCUGCAAUAUCCAGAAUUGUUCAGCCUUUUGCUGAAUCGAUUUGAGUUGUAAUUUUGUAUUUUAUUUUCAGACCAUAAACGAAUAUUGUAAAAGGGUAUUUUACAAUGUAAAUGUUUUUGGUUGGGAACAACAGAACAAAGUUCUCUUUAAACUGUAAAAUAACUUGAAAUAACUUGAACCAAAAUAAUUGAAACUAAAUGUGAACUGAACUAAAGAGUUAACUCGAAACCGUGAUAGAACUGAUUUGAAUUAAACUAAAAGGUUGCAACCUGAGAACAAAAACCUGAGAACAAAACCUGUUAAACAAAACCUGAUAAGCGAAAUCUGGUAUAACUAAAAUAUAUCCGGAAAAAGGAAAUAAGGGUUUUGGAACUUAACUACUUAAACAAAGAAGGUUAAGAUAAUUGGAGUUUAUGUUAACGUUGUCUAUGUCCAUGUCAUGCUAUUUUCAUAUUUUGUGUCCAAAUUUCAAUAAUAAGCCGGCAAAUCAUUUAAACUUA
Long non-coding RNA from Boleophthalmus pectinirostris (great blue-spotted mudskipper), 813 nucleotides. RefSeq lists it as uncharacterized. The transcript has 2 exons. The record is from RefSeq and is a predicted model, not a curated record. NCBI's taxonomy places the organism in Eukaryota, Metazoa, Chordata, Actinopteri, Gobiiformes, Gobiidae.